AAGAAGACUUUGAUGAGGAUUAUUAGUUUUGAUCGAAUUCUGUCAGAGAGUCGGCGGGUGGUGAAAGCCGAUGGUUCGUCAAAAUCAACUCGCCUCUGAGUCAUGCGGUCAACUCCAAGUGGAUCAAAUCGCAUCGUUUCACCCGCGUUAAGGGUGCUAAAGGGAGCAUUUGGCAAAGUAUGCCAAGGGCUAACUAGGGUGGUACCACGGGAGCAACCUCUCGUCCCUAGC
RNAcentral lists this non-coding RNA (231 nucleotides) under Paenibacillus selenitireducens. RNAcentral describes it as "T-box sequence". It matches the Rfam family "T-box leader". Rfam says of the family: Uncharged tRNA acts as the effector for transcription antitermination of genes in the T-box leader family. The record is from RNAcentral. Lineage: Bacteria; Bacillati; Bacillota; Bacilli; Caryophanales; Paenibacillaceae.